AUUGAACGCUGGCGGCAUGCCUUACACAUGCAAGUCGAACGGCAGCGGACCUUCGGGUGCCGGCGAGUGGCGAACGGGUGAGUAAUAUAUCGGAACGUACCUUUCAGUGGGGGAUAACGUAGCGAAAGUUACGCUAAUACCGCAUAUUCUGUGAGCAGGAAAGCAGGGGAUCGCAAGACCUUGCGCUGAUUGAGCGGCCGAUAUCAGAUUAGCUAGUUGGUGAGGUAAAGGCUCACCAAGGCGACGAUCUGUAGCGGGUCUGAGAGGAUGAUCCGCCACACUGGAACUGAGACACGGUCCAGACUCCUACGGGAGGCAGCAGUGGGGAAUUUUGGACAAUGGGCGCAGGCCUGAUCCAGCCAUGCCGCGUGAGUGAAGAAGGCCUCGGUUGUAAG
RNAcentral lists this ribosomal RNA (395 nucleotides) under uncultured bacterium. RNAcentral describes it as "bacterial SSU rRNA". It matches the Rfam family "Bacterial small subunit ribosomal RNA", at positions 30 to 429 of the family's 1533-position model. The record is from RNAcentral.